Molecule: long non-coding RNA, 406 nt
Organism: Cygnus olor (mute swan)
Lineage: Eukaryota; Metazoa; Chordata; Aves; Anseriformes; Anatidae
Exons: 3
Source: RefSeq, a predicted model, not a curated record
UUGGGUUGGAUGGUCUGGGGUCUUGUGGGUUGGUUGGUUGGUGACGGACACGUGGGCUGGUUGCAGACACCUGGGCUUAGUUGGGGUUCAGAAUGGGGUUGUUGGCGGACAUCUGGGCAGGCUUGGGGGGGAGACAGCCCCCUCCUCUGUCCUUCUGCCCCCUCUGAGCCCCCUGGCGCUGCCCCCCAGCAACACUUCAGCCACCGCUGAGGAGAGCUGGUACGAGAACGAAGGUGGCACCUGGACAGCAUCCGAUGGCUUCGUCCUCGACAACGGCAACGCCACCGAACCAGAUGCAGAUCGCCAGACCCUCACUGCGGCCCCAGUUGUGACCCAGCACUUCCAGGACCUUCACAACGAUGCUGCUUCCAAGGUCAUCGUUGGCUCCUGCUCACCGUGGUGCCCA